Molecule: long non-coding RNA, 5382 nt
Organism: Ctenopharyngodon idella (grass carp)
Lineage: Eukaryota; Metazoa; Chordata; Actinopteri; Cypriniformes; Xenocyprididae
Exons: 5
Source: RefSeq, a predicted model, not a curated record
GUUAAAAAUCAUCAUUUGUGUUCUACUGAAGAAACAAAGUCACCUACAUCUUGGAUGCCCUGAGGGUAAGCAGAUAAACAUCACAUUUUCAUUUUUGGGUGAACUAAUAAAGACACAAACUCUCAUUUCACGGUAAAACGCAAUGAAUGUGAAUCACGCUUUUUUUUUUUUUUUUUUCAAAAACAGCAUCUCUCUUCAGGGAAAACCAAUAAAGGAAAACAUUUGUCGAGCGCAACUCCUAGUGGAAAUUAUAGAACGCAUAGGAAGAAAAUCUACAUGAGAUAUUGCUUAAUUCUUCGUCAGGUACUAAUUUGCAGAGGCAAUUGCGGGUUAAUCUAGUUAAUUAUUCCAUAUGCAAGUUUUAAGUGAGUAAUUACUUGCAUUACUGUGCUAACUAGCUGAAGAGGCUAGUCGGCCGAUAAUAUAUUAUAUAUAAUAUUUAUUUUAAGGUGAAGUAGUUACAUUGUAAUUAGAAAAAGCUCUGGGUAAUAUUAAAUAAUUAAUAAAAACAAUAAAACAAUGUAUGGUUAAAGUCCCCCUGUAAUCAAUUAUUUUAUCCCUUAAAACUCAUCUUUGAUCACCAAAAUGACAUAUUUUAAAAACAAUUCAAGUGAAAAAAUUUCUUAAUGCAUUAUAAUAGCUUGAAUGUAACUCUACACCCUUGCCUCAUUUAAUAUACACGGAACAAUGAAUAUGCAAACUAGCCCCGCCUCCACUCGCUCAUGCCAGCUCGGAGAGUCUUCUGUUGCUAUAGUGACGAGCAAUUUGUUGUUUGUGUUGUGGCUACAUGAAAUACAUGCACAUCCUUGAAUGAUCCUUCUCACUGUUGAGAAUCGGGCCGCCCAAGAACACGAUUAUGAAUAUUCUGAAUAAAGAUAUGCAUUAGACAUAGUUUAGCGUCAUUGUGAGCAAGAGAUAAACACAUAAACAUUAAAUCAGUACAAUUCACGAACGCCGUAAACAGACUGACAUGUCGAAAACAGCGAGUGCAGCUUCAGCAUCCGGUCUAGUGUUUGUGUGUGAGCGUGGAUCAGGAUUACAACCGCUCAAAAAAAAAACAUGAUUAAAUUAUAUGUAAAGAAUAAAAUGAAUUAUAAAAACAUGUAUGGCUAAAAAUCUCUGUUUUCUGCUGGUAUCUGAGCAUGUGGCAUGGACUACUGACGCUCAGCUUACUGUCCUCAGGUCGAGGCAUUUGCUGGUACUGUGUGUGACAGAAGCAGAGAGACUGUAUGAAUGUUGUGUGUUUUGUAUGAUGACACACACUGUCCCAAACUGGUGCAGAGGUGGGCGAAGGGAACUCUCCAGCACGGGUCCUCUUUAUAAAGAGGGUCUCCAUUUAUCUGUUGAUGCAAUGAAAAUAAAAUCUCAUAUUAGACUCAGACGGUCUGUGUGGCAAGAAUAACUGGAGCUGACACAGGCAGGAACGCUUCAGCUGUAACACACACAAAAGCGUGAUUAUCAGGUCUAAGCCCAAAAGAUCCAGUACUACACACCUGUGGAAGGGAAAUCAGAUGCACCUUCUCACCGUGACAGAUAAAGACACAUUGAAAGAAAUGCCAGUAUGAGAAGAAGAAAAUGAAUUUAAAGGUGCUCUAGAUUGUAAAAUUGUAAAAAAAAAAAAAAAAAAAAAAAAAAAAAAAGAGGUGUAUUCUCAUUCCUAGAUGUACAACAUUCUUUCAGGAGAGCUGUUAAUGUGUCUUUUAUGGGAAUAUACUAGGCAUGUCACUCCUUUCUGUUUUCAUCAAUCCCCCCAAAAAUGCAUUUUGGAUCCACAAAAGUUAUCAAAGUACUGUUUUCUCUGUUAUCCAUGCCAUCUAGGGUUUUCAAAACAUCUUCAAUUUCUGUCUCAGAGAGUUUAGUUUUUGUUUGAAGAGCUACUUUUAGUUGAUUCUUUGUGUACUGCUGGCACACUCCACUAACUUAUUAAUCUCUUCUAUGAUUAACUGUACUGUGGAGGAAGGGAUCAGGUGCUUCGCCUGCAACUUCAUGUAAAACAUGGACAGAUUUCUCAUAUAUAAGCUCUUCAUUUGUGCAGGGUCUAGUAUAUCCUCCUCACCCCAUCAUCAUCUGCCCCUUCAUCUGAGUGUCUUUCAGCAACAGAGAACUGAGACACUACAAACUGAAGGAAGACCGUGAAGACAUGCGAAGCUGUAGAGUAUUUGUGCUUUCUAGAUAGGUGAGAUGUGAAAGAUGAUUUCACUGAAAAUGAGCGAUCACAGUUUUUGAAGGGGCAAUGAACCUGCUCUCUUUCUGAAAUGUGAAAUUUGAGGUUACCCAAAAGAUCUGAAAGAUCGAUCAACUGUCUCUGACAGUUGGUAACUUCACAUUGAAGGGUCCCUGCAGAGACUCGCACUGUGACGCAGAAGAUGACUGCCGAUGAUGACGGUAAACAUGACAAAUUUAAUGUGUUGUAAUUUCUGAAGCGUGACUUGCAACCUGCAUAGAGAUAAUGUGCCUUAUUUCUUUGUAGCCCUUGAUGUUGUACAUAACCUUUUAGGAUUUUCACAGAAACACUACAACUAUUACAAGUGUAAUCUGCAAACAUCUUUACAUGGUGCAGUGAUCACCUUUUGCCCCGAUCUUGACUUUGGCAGCUCACACAACUUAUCUGCAGUGUUGCGAUCACAAAGGAUCACUACAAAUAAGGAGAAGAUGAGUACAUUCAUCUUGCGAAAUAUCUGAGCUUUAUUUUACAUUCAUGCUUAAAAUGAUCUGGGCUUUAUCCAUGUAUGGAGACGAAGAGCUAAAAACAGCCACCAAAUCUGGAGCAGAACAGCCACCAACAGGAAUGAUCUGUUUUUGUAGGGAGCAACGAACACCUAGAAGCCGGUGCUCCCAAUCACGCCACAAUCAGCCCGUCACCUGCAAACAAUAUAGACACAACACACAAAACAAGGAACGGCCAACAGGGGCAUCACAGCAGGAAGAGACAAAAACAAGCAUGCAAGUGUAUGGGACAUGUUAAGAAUAAAAAAAAAAUCCAAAGUAAUAUAUUGAAAAAUGCAUUGUAUCUAAAGCACUGAAUGCUAUCCGUGUAACCAGUAAAUCCCUAUCAGUUUAUGUGCUCCUGUUUCUGUGUGUGCUUCAGUGACUGCAACUAUUUAAUUUAGAGCAGUGAUUAAAGUUACUGAGUAAUGAGAAUUUGUUACAUGUGUAUAAUAACUGUAGUCCAGAGUGAAGUGACUGCGUGUGUGCAAUGAAAAAGUCUUAAUGUUGAAACGGAGACCUCUGGUGGGGAGUGGAAAGAAGCAGCAGUGGGCGGAAACGUGACAGAAAGUGAUGUGGGAGACAGUAAUUGGUCUCCACUUUUGGAGCAAGACAAUGAAUGGUCAUCUUCUUUUGAAAAGGAUGUGUUGCCUGACAGUGACGCCGCAAUCACAAGUCAUCUGGUAAAGCCUGAGACUCAGCAGCUUGAAUGCAAUUCAGCGUUUCCUGAUCAUAAGGGCUCCUGUGAACAUUUGACAGCAGCUUUAAAGGAUGAAAACCUCAUGAAGAAAAGGAGUCUGAAUCUUCAGGUGAAAAGGAAAAGACAAGGAAUCUGCCUUGGCUGAAUCAACUAACAUUUCUACAGAGAGCAGUGAGGCAGAAGACCCAUUCUUUGGAUGUAGUUUGCCACAGGAGCCCUGUUUCUUUUUUAUUGACAAAAAAAGAAUGGCAAGACCUGAGGAAGCGUCGGAAAGGAAGAUGUUUUCAAGGAUUACAGUGGACAAAUGGGGAAUGAGGUCAAUUCACCCAUACUGCAGUUUUGGUUUCACUCGCCACAGUAUCAAAACCCUGCAGUCACUAAAAAACACACCUCUAUUCAAAUGUUUGGGUUACUGCCGGUUUGAAGACUGCCCCAUUAAUGUUACUGUGGAAGUCACAGAUGAAUUCACCCUGAAGGCAGCUGUGCAGUUCACAGGAGGAGAUGUGUGCCACAGUACUACUGAGCUAAAAAGGAGUCAGUGUGUGCAGAUUCAUGUACAUCCACUGGAGAAACUCUGGAAACCAAAUUACCCAGAAGUGUCUAUUUGGAUUCUAUAGUAAAACUCCCAGAGAAGGUGAUGCAGUCUGGGUGCAGAGAUGAAGCGCCAACAAAAGAGGCUCUGAAAACCAUUGCAUGGAGCCAAAGACAACUGAAAAGACCUCAUUCAAAUGAACUUCUAAGUCUCCAAAUGCUAAUUAAUGGGGUCAUGAUGCACCCAAAAGGCAUAAUGCUGUGGUCAAAGAAAACGCUGACAGUGUUUUACAAAAGGUGCAAGGAGGACAUUGUCUAUCUGGUUGCAACUGGAAGUAUAAUUCAAAAAGGAAGCUCCACAAGUCCACCAAUACUAAGUGUAUGAAUUAGUUGUGCGUAAUCCUUCCCACGGCGCAUCUCCUCUUCCAGUUGCAACCUACCUAACUUGUGUCACAUACUUUUUGCAGGCUUUUCAAACAGGCAUGAUGAAGCUCUAUGGGAAAAAAGCAGUCAAAAGGCCAAUUAUGAUCAUUUAUGAUGGCUCCCUUGCAGGGAUGGGCAGUAUUUAUGAUACAUGUAUUUCAAAUACAAAAUAGUAUUUUGUAAUUUGUAUUUGAUAGGGUUGAUGAAAAUGGCUUUGCAUUUUGUAUCAAAAUACUUUAGAGUUUUGUAUUUUUGUAUUUAUAAAUAGUCUACAUGAUGACAUCAUAAAAUUGCAGCCUCUGAUUGGUCCUUACUCAGUAGUUUGCCCAGACUUGUUGAGAUCAGAGCAGAAAAUUUAUCCAUAUGGAAGAAGGUGGUCAAGAAACGUGCAGAAACGUUUCUUGACCACGUUUCGUUUCCCCCCAUAUUUAUGAUUAAUUAAUACCCUAAAUAUUAAGUGAUUAAUUAGUGCUGUGAAUACAGCUGCCAUCAGUUGUCUUCUAAUGAAUUACUUGUUUGUCAUUGAGUCAGUGUUGCUGAAGGAAAGUAGGCCCUUCAUUACCAAACACCAAGUAACUAAAUUAGGAAACUGUUGGUUACUUUAAAACUAACCUUCAUCUGGGGGAUCACAGGGAUAUGUUAAUAUUUGAUCUGUUAAAGUCACAAUAUGUAAAUUUUCACCCUAGAGGUCACUUAUUCAAAACAGAAUAAGAGUUUGGAGAGGAGAGUCAUGCUGAAACAAGACCAAAUCCAGGACAACAUCACAUCAGCGGUUGGACAAUGAUGCAGAACCUCUGCCUCUGAUCUCACAGAGGUGCUAGAGGAGCCCUGUAAGACUGUGGAGGAACUAGAGGAGCUGUGUGAGAAGCUGAAAGAUGCUGACUUUCCAAAGAAGAUGAUUCGUUAUCUGUGUCAUCAGAGUGGAAGCAGCUUGGGAGAUGGAGUUAGGAGGAUGCUGAAAAAAUUGGGGAUAAUUUCUUAUGGGGACGCUACAGUUACAAAGGGAGAAAGGGAAAACUUCC